GUCUUCUUGUUAUAUUUAGGAAGUCUGGCCUGCCCAGUGAAAAUAAUUUAACGGCCGCGGUAUACUGACCGUGCAAAGGUAGCAUAAUCAUUAGUCUUUUAAUAGAGGGCUGGUAUGAAGGGUUUAACGAGGUGUUGACUGUCUCAUUUAAUUUGAAUUUAGAAUUUAAUUUUUUAGUUAAAAAGCUAAAAUACUAUUGGAAGACGAGAAGACCCUAUAGAGCUUUAUAUUUUUAUUAUUAAUUUAUUAUAGGUUAUUAUUAUUUAUUAUUAGUAGAAAGUAUUUUGUUGGGGUGACAAAAAUAUAUGAAUAACUUUUUUAUUUUAUUUACAUUGAUAUAUGAAUAUUAGAUCCAAUCUUAUUGAUUGUUAGAUUAAGUUACCUUAGGGAUAACAGCGUAAUCCCUCUCCAGAGUUCAUAUUUACAGAGGGGCUUGCGACCUCGAUGUUGGAUUAAGAUAAUAAUUAGGUGCAGCCGCUUAAUUAAUAGGUCUGUUCGACCUUUAAAUUCUU
This 512-nucleotide ribosomal RNA is filed under the name Aeshna juncea. RNAcentral describes it as "partial 16S rRNA". It matches the Rfam family "Bacterial large subunit ribosomal RNA", at positions 1830 to 2597 of the family's 2925-position model. Lineage: Eukaryota; Metazoa; Arthropoda; Insecta; Odonata; Aeshnidae. The record is from RNAcentral.